Molecule: ribosomal RNA, 301 nt
Filed under: uncultured bacterium
Lineage: Bacteria
Description: partial 16S ribosomal RNA
Rfam family: Bacterial small subunit ribosomal RNA
Source: RNAcentral
AGCCGCCGCGGGAAUACGAAGGGUGCAAGCGUUACUCGGAAUUACUGGGCGUAAAGCGUGCGUAGGUGGUGGUUUAAGUCCGUUGUGAAAGCCCUGGGCUCAACCUGGGAAUUGCAGUGGAUACUGGGUCACUAGAGUGUGGUAGAGGAUAGUGGAAUUUCCGGUGUAGCAGUGAAAUGCGUAGAGAUCGGAAGGAACAUCUGUGGCGAAGGCGACUAUCUGGGCCAACACUGACACUGAGGCACGAAAGCGUGGGGAGCAAACAGGAUUAGAUACCCCAGUAGUCCCUGUCUCUUAUACA